AGUGAACGCUGGCGGUAGGCCUAACACAUGCAAGUCGAACGGCAGCACAGGAGAGCUUGCUCUCUGGGUGGCGAGUGGCGGACGGGUGAGGAAUACAUCGGAAUCUACCUUUUUCGUGGGGGAUAACGUAGGGAAACUUACGCUAAUACCGCAUAAGACCUUCGGGUGAAAGCAGGGGACCUUCGGGCCUUGCGCGGAUAGAUGAGCCGAUGUCGGAUUAGCUUGUGGCGGGGUAAAAGCCCACCAAGGCGACGAUCCGUAGCUGGUCUGAGAGGAUGAUCAGCCACACUGGAACUGAGACACGGUCCAGACUCCUACGGGAGGCAGCAGUGGGGAAUAUUGGACAAUGGGGCGCAAGCCUGAUCCAGCCAUACCGCGUGAGUGAAGAAGGCCUUCGGGUUGUAAAGCUCUUUCGGCUGGGAAGAAAUCGCAUCUCCUAAUACGGGGUGUGGAUGACGGUACCAGCAUAAGAAGCACCGGCUAACUACGUGCC
Molecule: ribosomal RNA, 493 nt
Filed under: uncultured bacterium
Lineage: Bacteria
Description: bacterial SSU rRNA
Rfam family: Bacterial small subunit ribosomal RNA
Source: RNAcentral